Molecule: ribosomal RNA, 463 nt
Filed under: uncultured bacterium
Lineage: Bacteria
Description: partial 16S ribosomal RNA
Rfam family: Bacterial small subunit ribosomal RNA
Source: RNAcentral
GAUGAACGCUGACAGCAUGCUUAACACAUGCAAGUCGAUGGGGAAGUGGCGCUUGCACCAUGGUACUCAUGGCGGACGGGUGUGUAACGCGUAAGGAACUUACCUGCGGGACCGGGAUAACACUAGGAAACUGCUGACAAGAUCGGAUAAGGUCACUCAGCCGCCUAGCUUAGUGAUGAAAGGAGACGUCUGCGGAGAGCCUUGUGUCCUCUUAGCGAGUUGGUGGGGUAAUGGCCCACCACGGCGAAGUUAGGUAGGCGGCCUGAGGGGGUGGACGGCCACAAGGGGACUGAGAUGCGGCCGUUACUCCUGCGGGGGGCAGGAGUGGAAAAUAGUGGACAAGGGGGACAACCCUGAUCCAGCAGUUCUGUGUGCACGAAGACGGUUUUCGGAGUGUAAAGUGCUUUCAGCAGGGAAGAAGUAAGUGACGGUACCUGGAGAAGAAGCGACGGCUAAAUACGUG